GCAGGAUCUGAGCCAUGUCUGCAACCUACAGCUCACGGCGAUGCCGGAUCCUUAACCCACUGAGCAAGGGCAGGGAUCGAACCCGAAACCUCAUAGUUCCUAGUCGGAUUUGUUAACCACUGAGCCACGACGGGAACUCCUCCAACAAUACUUUUUAAUACUUUUCAGGAUUUCUAAAAAGACCAUUUUUCUCUGUUUUUAUAAUCAGUGAAAUUUUUAUUAAAAAUGAAAGCAUGGGAGUUCCCGUCGUGGCGCAGUGGUUGACGAAUCUGACUAGGAACCAUGAGGUUGCGGGUUCGGUCCCUGCCCUUGCUCAGUGGGUUAAUGAUCCGGUGUUGCCGUGAGCUGUGGUGUAGGUUGCAGACGCGGCUCGGAUCCUGCGUUGCUGUGGCUCUGGUGUAGGCCGGUGGCUACAGCUCCGAUUCCACCCCUAGCCUGGGAACCUCCAUAUGCUGCGGGAGUGGCCCAAGAAAUAGCAACAACAACAACAACAAAAAGACAAAAGACAAAAAAAAAAAAAAAAAAAAAAGAAAGAAAGCAUGGCCUAAUUUUUUUUUUUUUCACUUCACCAAGAGAGAAAUUAGGCCAGAAUUAAUUGAGGGACUUAAAGAAACGCUUUGGAGAAAAGCUUUGCCUGCAAGAUUAAUUAGAUGCUGGUAAGGAUUAGUAAGACAAAUUCAAGUUGGUUUGAUGGAAAGAGUGGUUGAUUUGGAAUGAGAAAACUCGGAAAUGCAGCUCCAUUUUCUGGGUGACCUUGAGCAAGCUCUUGCUCAAAUUCAGCUUUCUAUUUUGGAAAAUGCAGCUGGCUGCUUAAGGAAGAUAACAUCCACCAGGCGCCUGGCCCAGAAAAAGAGCUCUGUAAGUGGUACUAAACGCAAUGAUUUUCUGGAAUCUCAGGGAGGCUUUGCCAACACAACAUCCUCUGGCAGAAGUGUCAGCCCCUCAUCUUCCGUUGAAAAGGGUCUAAGUGUCAAUGGGUCUGCUCAUCUAGGGUAAGUAAGGGUCCAGUGAAGAGCUAUAAACAUCGGGGAGCGAACAGUCUGAAAGACAGCAUGACAUGCUUGAGUGUGGCUUUUGGAACCAGAGUGGGUUCAAAUCUUACUGUCACUUGGUAUUGGUGUGGCCUUAGACAAAUUACUUCAUCUCCCUGAGUCUCAGCUUUUUUUUUUUUUUUGUGCAAAAUGGGGAUAAUACAUCAUGGGAUUAUUGGGAAGAUUCAUUGAGUUAAUUUAUGUAAAGUGAUUAGAAGAGUCCCUGGCAUACAAUAAAGACUGUACAAGGACUUGCUGUUACGAAGUU
Molecule: long non-coding RNA, 1299 nt
Filed under: Sus scrofa (pig)
Lineage: Eukaryota; Metazoa; Chordata; Mammalia; Artiodactyla; Suidae
Description: lncRNA (ENSSSCG00070021774.1)
Source: RNAcentral